Molecule: long non-coding RNA, 1174 nt
Organism: Solanum pennellii
Lineage: Eukaryota; Viridiplantae; Streptophyta; Magnoliopsida; Solanales; Solanaceae
Exons: 2
Source: RefSeq, a predicted model, not a curated record
GGUUAUGAAGCUCAUCUCUCAUCUCACAUGGCUGAAUUCAAAGGAUUUCUACCACUUAUCAAUACAUAUUGAUUCUCCGUAUGAGAUUCUGUUUACCCAGAAUGAGGCAGUUUAACUCAAGAUGAGUCAACCCAAAUUGCUCCUAAGCCUAUUCAGGUGUGUUGCUUGAUACCCUUGGGUAAGGAUGAGUUCGCCCCUGCAGGUAGGUUUAUGGCAUUGGAGGCUUGGCCACAUGAACACAACGGGAUUAAAGGUAACAUCUGUCGAUUUGCAGUUUUGUGAAGACUGCCUGCUAAAAAAACAAAAGGAGGUCAACUUUUCUAAGGUAGGAUAAGAUAUUACAAGUGGGAACCUGAAAUUUGUUCAUACAAUUAAACCCUUCAAAGAUAGUAAGUCAAUGUCCUCUAUAAAAGUAACACUAGCAUAAAAGGAUAACUAGCCCCAAAAGGAUAAGGAGUAGAACAAUUGGUGUAAAAAGAAGGAAUAGAGGUCAUAAUACAUAGCCUCCUCUUCAUAAGGGAUAGAGGCCAUAAUACAUAGCCUCCUCUUAGUACGAAAUUUCCUAAUUUUUCACUCUUAUUACAUUCAAUUUGAGAUAAAAGGAUAUCAUAUAGUCUCAUUCAAACAAAGAAAGAUAGGUAAUGGACUCUAUUCAUAAGUGAGGCAACAUGCGCAAAAGGGGCUUAGGGGACAUGUUGACGAUUAAAGAUAUUUUCACAGCCUCCUUCAGUCGAUGACUCUCAAUUGAAACUUGAAUACAGAAUUAUGAGUGUGGGAAAAGACUUAACACAAGUUUGAGGUACCAGACAACAUUCAUCAUUCAAAGAUCUUCUAUGUUUCCUCAAGACUUCGAAUUGAUUGGUAACGCUCGACUCCGAAUGGUUUGUAUAGCCGACACAUACAAUUACAAUGGAGGCCCAUGAUUUCAAUGCAUAUUUCCAGCUCCUCCGCCCACAAAUAUUUGUCCUAGUAUGUAAUUAUUCUCAAAAUUGAUGAUACGAUCGAGUGACAAUGUUAUAAGAAUAUGCAGUUCUUUGUCUAUUUAAGUCCUUUUAAGUUGACAAGGAAAUUUGAGUGGAUAAUUUAUACUGGCAAUACUUCAUGUAUGGGUAGUUUGUGUGAAAAAACAACAUAUUUAAUCUUGAUAUGUAGCCAUUCUCUGUGAACAAACAUA